Molecule: long non-coding RNA, 1656 nt
Organism: Numida meleagris (helmeted guineafowl)
Lineage: Eukaryota; Metazoa; Chordata; Aves; Galliformes; Numididae
Exons: 3
Source: RefSeq, a predicted model, not a curated record
GAGGUGAGGUUUUCCUCCUGGAGAUUCCUUUCUACCAGGGGCCUUCCAAAGCUGGUAGGUAGAUCCUUGAGAUGCUCUUGUAAUUUCAGAGAGGUGCCCAAGGGAGAAGGAAGCAGGAACUGAACCACAAGCAGCUCUCACAGGGCAUUGUUUCCUCCUGAUUUCGUUACCGUCUUAUUUAACUUCUUGCUUGAGCAAGGAGACAUAGCAAAUUCCAGGCUGUGGUUGAGGAGUGUGCCGGGCUUCCAGCUGUAACAGGCAGCUGGCUGUGGCUCUGAAUGUGGGUUAAGGGAGAGAAGCAAGCCCAAUGAAGUCCUGCCACAUUCAUGUGAAGCAGGAGAGAUUUGUUUGUACAUGCUUUUGCUGAAAGACUGUAUUAUGCGGAACACACAAAGUAACAACUCCUAUCCAUUUUUAGAGCUAUUGUUAAAUAGAGAAUUAGCAUUGAGGAGAAGACAGUGGGGGACUCUUCCUUCUUCCCUCUUCUCCCUCCCAUAGUACGGUGUCUUUAUUUUCUUUUCAUUAUUUCUCUUUGUCUUACUGGCAUACUGCUUUCAUUUAUAUUGAAAUCAGCUGGCAGAAGACAAAGUUCACAGCAUAUAUUUAGAGCCUGUGUUUUUGAGACCAGUAAUUAUUAUUUUCCUCCAUCUUUCCUGGGAAGCUACUGGUGAUUUGUUUCCAGGUUCAUUUCAUGAGUGUUUACUGUCAUUUACUAUGAACUCUGGUCUUUUCCUUUCUCUGCCUGUCCCUCAAAAUGCUGACCACAUGCUGGCUCUGCUUUGCAUUUCUGAAUCUGAGUUUGUAUUUUAAUAUUCAUUAGGUAUUUGUACUGACAGCCCAUCAAUACAUUAAAUUAGUAUAUACGCAGCUAACAAGUAUGGUACAUGCCUAACUGACUUAUAACAACAUUAAAGCAGACAGAACAGAUUGUCUCAGCAGGGUUUAAUAAACUGUACUUAUCCACAGUCCCUGUGAAAAACAGGCAUGCAACUCCAACGUACAGUGCUCCCUUGGAAUCAGAAGAUCAACAUUAAAUGUGCUAAAGUGAACGUGAUUUGUUUUCUGAUCAGAAAACUGAACUUUCUUCCAUCUUUGAAGAAGUGCUUAGUCGUCUUCUUUUGGGAAACUAGACAUUCAUUAUAAAGAAUCAGGCAUUCUAGUUCAAAACUAUUUAAUGAAUAUGAAGUAGCAUUGGAGCUGAUAAAAUGCAUGCAUGGUUAUGCAUUACUUGUUCUCAUGAAAUGCUUUGAAGGUAUUGAGAUCUUUGCAAGUAAUUAGUAUCAUAAUUAGAAUAUCAUUUUUUUUCUGCAAGUAAGACUAAUGUGACUAAAAGGAGAGCUUUUUUUGGAUAAGAGGUAUUAUUUCUUCUCCAUAUGACUGAGAAAGUAGUUUUCUCUAAAGCAGGAAGAAAACUGAUGUCAGAUGAAAGGAGAGCUUCUCUGUUUAGUCUUUUUGGAUAUGGCUGACUCCAAGCCAGAAAUUUCCUGGAGAGAUCUCCUGUCUGGCAUCUUGGAGAGAGUACAUACCACCUCUUGCAUUACAAGCAUUAGGUAGGAUAGAAUCUGUCAAUUUUAUAUCCUGUUUCCAUUUCUCUGCAGUCAAAAAUUGGGUGAUUAAAAACUGCAUAAAAAUUUUAAAAUAGACAUCAGACACUUA